ACCUGAAAGAGGAAUGAGGUUUUGCUUGAUGCCAA
Molecule: small RNA, 35 nt
Filed under: Bombyx mori (domestic silkworm)
Lineage: Eukaryota; Metazoa; Arthropoda; Insecta; Lepidoptera; Bombycidae
Description: ovarian small RNA-11354
Source: RNAcentral